UCGUGGCGACAGGUUAUGGGGAUCUAUACCAGCACGGUACGUGUCCACCAUGUUUCUUGCCAACGUCUCUGCUCGUAGGCUUGCACUGUAAGGACACAGCUAGAGGACUGCUAUGAUGUGGAGGAUAGUGAUGAUGGUUGUUCUAUUCUCUUUUCUACACCAGGCACAUGCUAAUAAAGAGAAAGAGAAGUACAGACACAAGUGUCGGGCGAACUACCACAAAUCUCCGGUGUGCCUGAAUAGGCCGGACGGGUAUUUCUGUCAUUGCGGGGGCGGCUUCGAGUGGAACGGC
Branchiostoma belcheri (Belcher's lancelet) is the source of this 292-nucleotide long non-coding RNA. RefSeq lists it as uncharacterized. The record is from RefSeq and is a predicted model, not a curated record. NCBI's taxonomy places the organism in Eukaryota, Metazoa, Chordata, Leptocardii, Amphioxiformes, Branchiostomatidae. The transcript is spliced from 3 exons.